This 228-nucleotide ribosomal RNA is filed under the name uncultured Actinomycetales bacterium. RNAcentral's name for it is "partial 16S ribosomal RNA". It matches the Rfam family "Bacterial small subunit ribosomal RNA", at positions 103 to 334 of the family's 1533-position model. The record is from RNAcentral. Lineage: Bacteria; Bacillati; Actinomycetota; Actinomycetes; Actinomycetales.
CGGGUGAGUAACACGUGGGUGAUCUGCCCUGCACUUCGGGAUAAGCCUGGGAAACUGGGUCUAAUACCGGAUAGGAGCCAUUUUUAGUGUGAUGGUUGGAAAGUUUUUUCGGUGUAGGAUGAGCUCGCGGCCUAUCAGCUCGUUGGUGGGGUAAUGGCCUACCAAGGCGGCGACGGGUAGCCGGCCUGAGAGGGUGGACGGCCACAUUGGGACUGAGAUACGGCCCAG